CCAACAGGGAUUGCCCUAGUAACGGCGAGUGAAGCGGCAACAGCUCAAAUUUGAAAUCUGGCUCUUUCAGGGUCCGAGUUGUAAUUUGCAGAGGGCGCUUUGGCUUUGGCAGCGGUCCAAGUUCCUUGGAACAGGACGUCACAGAGGGUGAGAAUCCCGUACGUGGUCGCUAGCUAUUGCCGUGUAAAGCCCCUUCGACGAGUCGAGUUGUUUGGGAAUGCAGCUCUAAAUGGGAGGUAAAUUUCUUCUAAAGCUAAAUAUUGGCCAGAGACCGAUAGCGCACAAGUAGAGUGAUCGAAAGAUGAAAAGCACUUUGGAAAGAGAGUCAAACAGCACGUGAAAUUGUUGAAAGGGAAGCGCUUGCAGCCAGACUUGCUUGCAGUUGCUCAUCCGGGCUUUUGCCCGGUGCACUCUUCUGUAGGCAGGCCAGCAUCAGUUUGGGCGGUGGGAUAAAGGUCUCUGUCAUGUACCUCUCUUCGGGGAGGCCUUAUAGGGGAGACGACAUACCACCAGCCUAGACUGAGGUCCGCGCAUCUGCUAGGAUGCUGGCGUAAUGGCUGUAAGCGGCCCGUCUUGAAACACGGACCAAGGAGUCUAACAUCUAUGCGAGUGUUUGGGUGUCAAGCCCGAGCGCGUAAUGAAAGUGAACGGAGGUGGGAACCCGCAAGGGUGCACCAUCGACCGAUCCUGAAGUUUACGGAAGGAUUUGAGUAAGAGCAUGGCUGUUGGGACCCGAAAGAUGGUGAACUAUGCUUGAAUAGGGUGAAGCCAGAGGAAACUCUGGUGGAGGCUCGCAGCGGUUCUGACGUGCAAAUCGAUCGUCAAAUUUGGGCAUAGGGGCGAAAGACUAAUCGAACUAUCUAGUAGCUGGUU
RNAcentral lists this ribosomal RNA (873 nucleotides) under Bipolaris peregianensis. RNAcentral's name for it is "LSU rRNA". It matches the Rfam family "Eukaryotic large subunit ribosomal RNA", at positions 65 to 956 of the family's 3401-position model. The record is from RNAcentral. Lineage: Eukaryota; Fungi; Ascomycota; Dothideomycetes; Pleosporales; Pleosporaceae.